GACGUAGGGUGCGAGCGUUGUCCGGAUUUAUUGGGCGUAAAGAGCUCGUAGGCGGCUCGUCGCGUCAGCUGUGAAAACCCGCAGCUUAACUGUGGGCUUGCAGCUGAUACGGGCGGGCUAGAGUUCGGUAGGGGAGACUGGAAUUCCUGGUGUAGCGGUGAAAUGCGCAGAUAUCAGGAGGAACACCUAUUGCGAAGGCAGCUCGCUGGGACGUAACUGACGCUGAGACGCGAAAGCGUGGGGAGCAAACAGG
RNAcentral lists this ribosomal RNA (253 nucleotides) under uncultured bacterium. RNAcentral describes it as "partial 16S ribosomal RNA". It matches the Rfam family "Bacterial small subunit ribosomal RNA", at positions 524 to 776 of the family's 1533-position model. The record is from RNAcentral.